RNAcentral lists this long non-coding RNA (422 nucleotides) under Vigna radiata. RNAcentral's name for it is "long non-coding RNA (VRAD_LNC003786)". The record is from RNAcentral. Lineage: Eukaryota; Viridiplantae; Streptophyta; Magnoliopsida; Fabales; Fabaceae.
CUUCACUAUAUUCGAGUGGCGAAUGUUGCCCAGGAUCUCAACCUCAGUCUGGAACUCUUUCUCCAACUUGUCAUCCACAUUCUCGCGAUUCCAGAUCCGCUUCACCGCAACAUACUCACCUGGACGAUUUGAAGCAAUCCGGUAAACUUUCCCAAACCCUCCACUCCCUAUGAGGUUAUUGUCUGUCAAACUCGAGAGGAAGUUUAUUUCCGUGAGAUCAAGCUUCUGGAAUGAAGUGAGCCUCCACGUUGCAACCUUAUUUUUAUGCCCGCAGUGCUUUUUGCCCCAUUGCGUUUUCAACAUAUAGUAGACCAAGGAAGCUAUUGCCGCUAACACAACCGCAGUGGCAGCCAGAACCAGGGCCACUGAUUUCGAAGACGAAUUGCUCGACUGUGGUGCCGCUGACGCGGUUUUGGUCAAGC